RNAcentral lists this ribosomal RNA (322 nucleotides) under uncultured eukaryote. Its description in RNAcentral is "partial 18S ribosomal RNA". It matches the Rfam family "Eukaryotic small subunit ribosomal RNA", at positions 1470 to 1796 of the family's 1831-position model. The record is from RNAcentral.
CCCUUAGAUGUUCUGGGCCGCACGCGUGCUACACUGAGUGGAUCAGCGGGUCAGGUUGCGCGAAAGCGUUUCCUAAUCUUUAAAUCCGCUCGUGAUGGGGAUUGGCGGUUGCAAUUUUCUGUCAUGAACGAGGAAUACCUUGUAAGCGCGGGUCAUCAUCCCGCGCUGAAUACGUCCCUGCCCUUUGUACACACCGCCCGUCGCUCCUACCGAUUGAGUGGUCCAGUGAGGCUUUGGGAUCUGAGCGGAAAGAGCGUUUCGCUGUUUCUGCUCGGAAAACUCAGUCGAACCUUAUCAUUUAGAGGAAGGAGAAGUCGUAACA